GCAGAGAUGCUUUGGUGCCUUCGGGAACUCUGAGACAGGUGCUGCAUGGCUGUCGUCAGCUCGUGUUGUGAAAUGUUGGGUUAAGUCCCGCAACGAGCGCAACCCUUAUCCUUUGUUGCCAGCGGUUAGGCCGGGAACUCAAAGGAGACUGCCAGUGAUAAACUGGAGGAAGGUGGGGAUGACGUCAAGUCAUCAUGGCCCUUACGAGUAGGGCUACACACGUGCUACAAUGGCAUAUACAAAGAGAAGCGACCU
This 255-nucleotide ribosomal RNA is filed under the name Citrobacter freundii. RNAcentral describes it as "partial 16S ribosomal RNA". It matches the Rfam family "Bacterial small subunit ribosomal RNA", at positions 1000 to 1255 of the family's 1533-position model. RNAcentral also lists the same sequence under 4 other names. Lineage: Bacteria; Pseudomonadati; Pseudomonadota; Gammaproteobacteria; Enterobacterales; Enterobacteriaceae. The record is from RNAcentral.